AAAUUGAAGAGUUUGAUCAUGGCUCAGAUUGAACGCUGGCGGCAGGCCUAACACAUGCAAGUCGAGCGGUAGCACAGAGAGCUUGCUCUCGGGUGACGAGCGGCGGACGGGUGAGUAAUGUCUGGGAAACUGCCUGAUGGAGGGGGAUAACUACUGGAAACGGUAGCUAAUACCGCAUAACGUCGCAAGACCAAAGUGGGGGACCUUCGGGCCUCAUGCCAUCAGAUGUGCCCAGAUGGGAUUAGCUAGUA
This 251-nucleotide ribosomal RNA is filed under the name Klebsiella pneumoniae. RNAcentral's name for it is "partial 16S ribosomal RNA". It matches the Rfam family "Bacterial small subunit ribosomal RNA", at positions 1 to 250 of the family's 1533-position model. Lineage: Bacteria; Pseudomonadati; Pseudomonadota; Gammaproteobacteria; Enterobacterales; Enterobacteriaceae. RNAcentral also lists the same sequence under 1 other name. The record is from RNAcentral.